Molecule: unclassified non-coding RNA, 363 nt
Filed under: Hevea brasiliensis (rubber tree)
Lineage: Eukaryota; Viridiplantae; Streptophyta; Magnoliopsida; Malpighiales; Euphorbiaceae
Source: RNAcentral
AUUAUGUAUUUGUUAUUAUAGAAGGCAUUCUCUUUCUAGACAAAAAAAAGUUGAAAAUAUCUUUUAAAAAAGGCAAAAGCCACUAGACGAGAGGGGCAAGCAGCGAUAGCAGCUCGACCUUAGGCAGAGCCGCUCAAACAAAGAUAGCUUCUUGAUCCACGUAUCUCAUUGAUUUAGCGAUAGGGGCGGAAUGCCAAGCCGCUCUAACACCAUUCCAUUGGGGAGUCCCAUCCCAGCCUUAGACUGACCAGACAGAGGCCAGCUUAGGGGCUGAUUGACCUGACCUAACCGAAUGAAGAAAGAAAAGUGUGGUUUUCCCGUGAGCUUUAUCUAAGCUAUUUCACGAUAGGGAUUGGAGAUAGA